ACGGGUGAGUAACACGUGGGUAACCUGCCCAAGAGACUGGGAUAACACCUGGAAACAGAUGCUAAUACCGGAUAACAACACUAGACGCAUGUCUAGAGUUUAAAAGAUGGUUCUGCUAUCACUCUUGGAGGGACCUGCGGUGCAUUAGCUAGUUGGUAAGGUAACGGCUUACCAAGGCAAUGAUGCAUAGCCGAGUUGAGAGACUGAUCGGCCACAUUGGGACUGAGACACGGCCCAAACUCCUACGGGAGGCAGCAGUAGGAAAUCUUCCACAAUGGACGCAAGUCUGAUGGAGCAACGCCGCGUGAGUGAAGAAGGGUUUCGGCUCGUAAAGCUCUGUUGGUAGUGAAGAAAGAUAGAGGUAGUAACUGGCCUUUAUUUGACGGUAAUUACCUAGAAAGUCACGGCUAACUACGUGCCAGCAGCCGCGGUAAUACGUAGGUGGCAAGCGUUGUCCGGAUUUAUUGGGCGUAAAGCGAGUGCAGGCGGUUCAAUAAGUCUGAUGUGAAAGCCUUCGGCUCAACCGGAGAAUUGCAUCAGAAACUGUUGAACUUGAGUGCAGAAGAGGAGAGUGGAACUCCAUGUGUAGCGGUGGAAUGCGUAGAUAUAUGGAAGAACACCAGUGGCGAAGGCGGCUCUCUGGUCUGCAACUGACGCUGAGGCUCGAAAGCAUGGGUAGCGAACAGGAUUAGAUACCCUGGUAGUCCAUGCCGUAAACGAUGAGUGCUAAGUGUUGGGAGGUUUCCGCCUCUCAGUGCUGCAGCUAACG
RNAcentral lists this ribosomal RNA (769 nucleotides) under uncultured bacterium. RNAcentral's name for it is "bacterial SSU rRNA". It matches the Rfam family "Bacterial small subunit ribosomal RNA", at positions 102 to 857 of the family's 1533-position model. The record is from RNAcentral.